Aplysia californica (California sea hare) is the source of this 533-nucleotide long non-coding RNA. RefSeq lists it as uncharacterized. The record is from RefSeq and is a predicted model, not a curated record. The transcript is spliced from 2 exons. Lineage: Eukaryota; Metazoa; Mollusca; Gastropoda; Aplysiida; Aplysiidae.
AAGUGUUCAACCUACGGGGUCCUGAGCUGCCCCUGGUGCUGGUGGCAAACAAACACGAUCUGCUCACUGCGCGUGCAGUCACGGAGGACGAGUGUGACAACCUUGCUGCAGAGAUGGAUUGCCCCAGAUUUCAGAUCUCUGUCGCUGAGGGCCAAGACGGGGUGAACGAGGCGGUGGAGGAGCUGAUGGUGUUGAUGAAGAGACAGCUGGUGAAGAGCCUAACCCAGCCAGAGACCGUGGUGGCUCUGGAGAAGAAGUCUCGCCUGUACAGCAUGAAGAAAGCCUUCAAGAAACGGAUCGUGCGCAGUCGCAGUGACACUUUUUAAUUGUAACAAUGUUCACUUUCAUGCGUUUUGUCUGUUUGUUUGUUUGUUUGUUUUCUUUUUUGUUUGUUUGUUUGAUUGAUUUUUAGUCUGUUUGUUUGUUUGUUUGUGUGUGUGUCUGUUUGUUUGUUUGAGUAAAGAGAAGAACAUUGAAACAAUAAUGGUCAACGUUUAUGCGCAUUAGUGUGAAAAAUAGAUCGUGCGCAGUUU